GCCGGGCAUGGUGGUGGGUGCCUGUAAUCUCAGCUACUCGGGAGGUUGAGGCAGGAGAAUCACUUGAACCCAGGAGGUAGAGGUUGCAGUGAGCCAAGAUUGUGCCACUGCACCCCAGCCUGGGUAACAGAGUGAGACCCUGUCUCAA
Unclassified non-coding RNA from Papio anubis (olive baboon), 148 nucleotides. It matches the Rfam family "Metazoan signal recognition particle RNA". From Rfam's summary of the family: The signal recognition particle (SRP) is a universally conserved ribonucleoprotein. It is involved in the co-translational targeting of proteins to membranes. The eukaryotic SRP consists of a 300-nucleotide 7S RNA and six proteins: SRPs 72, 68, 54, 19, 14, and 9. NCBI's taxonomy places the organism in Eukaryota, Metazoa, Chordata, Mammalia, Primates, Cercopithecidae. The record is from Ensembl.